AUCCACAGAAUAAACUGUACCCAAAAAAUGAAAUCAUAUUUUCAAGAACAAAGCAGCUGAUGAAGGUAGAGUGCUAGACCUUCAUCCCAUUAAAAUUUCUUUGGACAUAGAAUACAUACAUCAAAAUACAGGGCAACAACUAAAUGGAUCAGAUGUAAAAACUGAAAAAGGGAAUGCUAAAUGUUUACAGGUUGGAGGAAAGAGAAGUUGGCGCAGAUGAUAUGAGACUACAUCUGAGGACCAAGACCCAAGAAGACAAUAGAAACCAAAUUUCUUCUCAAGAAUACAAAAAAUUAGAUUUAUAAUAUAAUUAAGACUUGAAAUUGCACAAUAAACAUGUUGCAUUCAUUGAGAACGACACUCAGAUAUUGUGUUCUUCCAGAUGAAGACAAAUUCUUCAAAACUAGAUUCUGUAGCAUAACUAUAGAUAAGAAAAUUGAAAUAAUAAUUUAUGCAUAAAAGUGAAAGAAAAUGACAAGAUUUAGGAGGCUAAGA
Molecule: long non-coding RNA, 495 nt
Filed under: Phoenix dactylifera (date palm)
Lineage: Eukaryota; Viridiplantae; Streptophyta; Magnoliopsida; Arecales; Arecaceae
Description: long non-coding RNA (PDAC_LNC022458)
Source: RNAcentral